UACGUAGGGCGCAAGCGUUGUCCGGAAUUAUUGGGCGUAAAGAGCUCGUAGGCGGCCAGUUGCGUCUGCUGUGAAAUCCCGGGGCUCAACCCCGGGCGUGCAGUGGAUACGGGCAGGCUAGAGGUAGGUAGGGGAGAAUGGAAUUCCCGGUGUAGCGGUGAAAUGCGCAGAUAUCGGGAGGAACACCGGUGGCGAAGGCGGUUCUCUGGGCCUUACCUGACGCUGAGGAGCGAAAGCCAGGGGAGCAAACGGG
RNAcentral lists this ribosomal RNA (253 nucleotides) under uncultured bacterium. RNAcentral describes it as "partial 16S ribosomal RNA". It matches the Rfam family "Bacterial small subunit ribosomal RNA", at positions 524 to 776 of the family's 1533-position model. The record is from RNAcentral.